Molecule: long non-coding RNA, 542 nt
Organism: Cyprinus carpio carpio
Lineage: Eukaryota; Metazoa; Chordata; Actinopteri; Cypriniformes; Cyprinidae
Source: Ensembl
GUUGAUGUUCUUGUUACCUUCCUGGACCUUGAAAAUGGUAGGACCCUUGUUGUCUAUGGAGGGUCAGAGAGCUCUCAGAUCUAAUCAAAAAUAUCUUGAUUUGUGUUCCGAAGAUUAAUGAAGGUCUUACAGUUUUGGAACGACAUGAGGGUUGAAAAUGCCACUCCUUCAGCUGUUCACAUAACUGACACAGAAGAAGCCACUGUUGCAGCAGGAGAUAUUGCAGAAGAGCUGACAAUUACACCAAUGCCAUUCAUUCAAAUAAUACCAAUUUUUGUAAUUUCUUCAUUCACUAUUCAUGCCAGAUUUUCUGCUUUUAAAAUUAAACAGGGUCUUUGAAAUAGAAAAGUCAAACUCAAAAAUCUAGUUUUUAUAUGCUUCUCUUCUUAUUUUUUGCAGAAUAUUAAAGAGAUUCUCAUGGCCUCCCAUGAGGGGAGAUGGAUUUCAGCAGCUUUAGAGAAGGAAAAAAGCAUCACAAUUAAACAGAGACGUGCACUGGUGCGAAUCCUGGUGGCCUUUUUAAUUGAAAAGUUUGGCGAAAU